ACCAGACUCCUACGGGAGGCAGCAGUGGGGGAUAUUGCACAAUGGGGGGAACCCUGAUGCAGCGACGCCGCGUGGAGGAAGAGGGUCUUCGGAUUGUAAACUCCUGUCCUUGGGGACGAUAAUGACGGUACCCAAGGAGGAAGCACCGGCUAACUACGUGCCAGCAGCCGCGGUAAAACGUAGGGUGCAAGCGUUGUCCGGAAUUACUGGGUGUAAAGGGAGCGCAGGCGGAUUGACAAGUUGGGAGUGAAAACUACGGGCUCAACCCGUAACCUGCCUUCAAAACUGUCAGUCUUGAGUGGUGUAGAGGUAGGCGGAAUUCCCGGUGUAGCGGUGGAAUGCGUAGAUAUCGGGAGGAACACCAGUGGCGAAGGCGGUCUGCUGGACAGCAACUGACGCUGAGGCGCGAAAGCGUGGGGAGCAAACAGGAUUAGAUACCCCCGUAC
This 446-nucleotide ribosomal RNA is filed under the name uncultured bacterium. RNAcentral describes it as "bacterial SSU rRNA". It matches the Rfam family "Bacterial small subunit ribosomal RNA", at positions 330 to 793 of the family's 1533-position model. The record is from RNAcentral.